ACUGGAGGAAGGUGGGGAUGACGUCAAGUCAUCAUGGCCCUUACGACCAGGGCUACACACGUGCUACAAUGGCGCAUACAAAGAGAAGCGACCUCGCGAGAGCAAGCGGACCUCAUAAAGUGCGUCGUAGUCCGGAUUGGAGUCUGCAACUCGACUCCAUGAAGUCGGAAUCGCUAGUAAUCGUGGAUCAGAAUGCCACGGUGAAUACGUUCCCGGGCCUUGUACACACCGCCCGUCACACCAUGGGAGUGGGUUGCAAAAGAAGUAGGUAGCUUAACCUUCGGGAGGGCGCUUACCACUUUGUGAUUCAUGACUGGGGUGAAGUCGUAACAAGGUAACCGUAGGGGAACCUGCGGUUGGAUCACCUCCUUA
This 372-nucleotide ribosomal RNA is filed under the name Escherichia coli. Its description in RNAcentral is "bacterial SSU rRNA". It matches the Rfam family "Bacterial small subunit ribosomal RNA", at positions 1162 to 1533 of the family's 1533-position model. The record is from RNAcentral. Lineage: Bacteria; Pseudomonadati; Pseudomonadota; Gammaproteobacteria; Enterobacterales; Enterobacteriaceae. RNAcentral also lists the same sequence under 5 other names.